This is a long non-coding RNA of Cygnus atratus (black swan), 2081 nucleotides long. RefSeq lists it as uncharacterized. The record is from RefSeq and is a predicted model, not a curated record. The transcript is spliced from 2 exons. NCBI's taxonomy places the organism in Eukaryota, Metazoa, Chordata, Aves, Anseriformes, Anatidae.
AACACACAAACUUUAGUCAGACAGUUUAUCAAAAACGAGUAUGUUCAGGUCAACUACAGUAACAGAAUCCAAAGCAUCAAUUUAAGAAAAUUAUACUAGCAUUUAUUUUUGAAGUAAUCAACGCAAUGGACGUUUUAUUAAUCAAUAUGCUAAUACACCAAGCUCCAGCACAGCUAUAUAUUCAGAAACACCCAAGAAAUGUAUUUACUUAAAGUCAGAAAAUGUAAGUAUUUAUAUAAGAAAGUGUAAGUAUUUAUAUAUUUGUGUAAGAGCUGAAACUGAAUAUGCAUGUACUUGACAUACCAACGCAUUAAUUUCCAAUUUAGCUGAUUACAUACUUCAAGAAAUGUACUAGAAAAGUAUCUGAGAACAUAAGAACUCAGAAUUAUGUAGAAGCAAAAAUAAAUACCACUACUGUCGAUGCUACACAGCAAGACCACAGUACAGGAAUUGUCAAAUUUCCUUGCCAGAAGUCCUUGGAAAAUUUAUGAUUUUACGCUUCCAGAACUUAUUUGGGAAAUACAAUUUCAGAUUCUUUCGAAGACUUUUUAAGUGAAGAAGUCAAGCUGAAUUUUUUUUUUAGAAGACAAGGAAUGGUUCCUGCUGAAUAGGAAUUAUCAGCCACAAUGACUUUUUAAGCAACAAAAAUAUGGAAAGAAGUAACUUGAGAGAAAUGUUAUUUAAACACAACUGGAGAUGACUAUUAAUCAGCUCAUAUGGUGAAAGUAAUUCAAAAAGAAACAAACAUUGUUAUAUGACCUUAAUUAGCAUAACACCCCUUUUGAUUCACUUCACAGAAGUUCUAUUGCUAAGAAAACGAAUAACAUAAAACCAGAAAACACUACUUAAAAACAACCUGGUAUCUCUCUAGAAAGUCACUUGCUCAGUAAAAUUUUGAUUUUCCGAUCAUAUUACUCCGUCAAAGAAGGAACAACCAAGAUUUCAUGCGUGAGAAAACACUGAGUGACAGAUCUUGUUCGCUUCCUGUACAUCGCCCGCCCUCCCCUACCCCUCUGGAGGAAACCAGGCAGGCUCCUGGCUGCGGAGCUGGGGAUUUUCUUGUGAAAAUUUCUGAGGAAAAGAAGAGCCCGUCAGAGCCUGCUUGUUCACAACAGCUGAGGAGCUGCUGUCCCAGGCCACGUCACCAGGAGCCAGGAACAGUUAGCUGAAGCCCUCAAUGCCCUGCCACAAAACUGUGCCCGUGGCAGAGGUUUCUGAGAGCCGUAAGACCCUGCUCCAGGAGCAGGACAUCCUCCUGUGAUCCUUUUGGACACCCGCCAGCGGUUACGUGUGCGGUCACCUACGCGAAAAGCAGGAAGCACGGAAUUAGACAGGAAGGGAUUGAGGAAGGGAUGGGUCUGCUCCCCCCCCUGGGUCGCUUCCACCUUCCCAACACCUGUUGAGAGCCAAAGAUCAUCGAGAAAGAUAUUGAAGAGGACCGGCCCCAGUACUGAGCCGCGGGUGACCCCACUAGUGACCAGCCUCCAACUGGAUUUGGCUCCAUUCACCACAACUCUCUGGGCCCAGCCACCCAGCCAGUUUUUUACCCAACAAAGCCUACACCUAUCCAGGCCUUGAGCAGCCCGCUCCUUCAGGAGAAUGCUGUGGGGAAUGGUGUCAAAAGCCUUACUGAAGUCAAGGCAGACCACAUCCACAGCCUUCCCCUUGUCCACUGAGCAUGUCACCUUGUUGUCCUGGGUCCUCCUUCCAGCCCUGCUUGUAGAUGGGUGUCACAUUUGCCAGCCACCAGUUAUCUGGGACCUGCCCCGAUAGCCAGGACUGCUGAUACAUGAUGGAGAGCGGCUUGGCCAGCUCCUCCGCCAGCUCCUCAGUACCCUUGGGUGGAUCCCAUCCAUCCCCAUCGACUUGCGUACAUCCAAGUGGAGUAGCAGGUCGCCAGCCAUGUCCUCGUGGAUUGUGAGGGCUUCAUUCUGCUCCCUGUCCCUAUCUACCAGCUCAGGGCGCUGAGUACCUGGAGAACAACUGAAGGCUGAGGCAAAGAAGGCAUUAAGUACCUCAGCCUUUUCCUCAUCAUAUCACUGUUUCCCCCCACACCCAAUAAAGGAUGGAGAUUCUCCUCA